RNAcentral lists this long non-coding RNA (886 nucleotides) under Eutrema salsugineum. RNAcentral's name for it is "long non-coding RNA (ESAL_LNC001561)". The record is from RNAcentral. Lineage: Eukaryota; Viridiplantae; Streptophyta; Magnoliopsida; Brassicales; Brassicaceae.
GCCAUAGCUCCCUUCCUCAUCAUCACCAUAGCUAGGCUUCCUGUAACUUCCUUCUUCCUGUUCCUCGGACCUUCCAUAGCUUGGCUUCCUGUAACCUUCUUCCUCCUGUUCCUCAGAUCUUCCAUAGCUGGGCCUUAUGUAACUCUCUACCUGCUCCUCAGACCUUCCAUAGCUAGGCUUCCUGUAACUUCCUUCCUCCUGCUCCUCAGAUCUUCCAUAGCUAGGCUUCCUGUAACCUUCUUCUUCUUCCUCAGAUCUUCCAUAACUAGGCUUCCUGUAACCUUCUUCCUCCUCAGAUCUUCCAUAGCUAGGCUUCCUGUAACCUUCUUCUUCUUCCUCAGAUCGUCCAUAACUCGGCUUCCUGUAACCUUCUUCCUCCUGUUCCUCAGAUCUUCCAUAGCUAGGCUUAAUGUAACUUUCAACCUGCUCCUCAGAUCUUCCAUAGCUAGGCUUCCUGUAACCUUCUUCUUGUUCCUCAGAUCUUCCAUAGCUAGGCUUACGCUCAUACUCGCUCCUCUCUUCACCGAAACUCGGUUUCUUUUCAUACCCGGAUCCAUACCCGGUCUCAGAUCCCCCACCAUACCCAGAUUCAGGUCUCCGACCAUACUCAACCUCGGUUCGUCCACCAGAUCCAUACUCCGAUUCAGCCUCCGUUCGACCACCAUAGCCAGAUCCGUAACCCUGCUCAGGUCUCCGACCAUACUCCGUCUCCGUUUCCCCACCGUAUCCCGACUCAGGUCUCCUACCGUAUUCGGUCUCCGUCUGACCACCGUACCCGGAUCCGUACUCCGAUUCCGGUUUCCGGCCAUAACCGGAUUCAGAUCCGUAACCAGGGUUAGGUCUUUCGCCUUGCACGUGACCGCCUCCGGCCGAAUCGGGUCGAAAU